AGAGUUUGAUCAUGGCUCAGGACGAACGCUGGCGGCGUGCCUAACACAUGCAAGUCGAACGGAGUUAAGUCUUCGGAUUUAACUUAGUGGCGAACGGGUGAGUAACGCGUGAGGAACCUGCCUUUCAGUGGGGGACAACAGUUGGAAACGACUGCUAAUACCGCAUAACAUGUACGGAUCGCAUGGUCUGUACAUCAAAGCUUUAUGUGCUGAAAGAUGGCCUCGCGUCUGAUUAGAUAGUUGGUGAGGUAACGGCUCACCAAGUCGACGAUCAGUAGCCGGUCUGAGAGGAUGAACGGCCACAUUGGGACUGAGAUACGGCCCAGACUCCUACGGGAGGCAGCAGUGGGGAAUAUUGGGCAAUGGGGGAAACCCUGACCCAGCAACGCCGCGUGAAGGAAGAAGGCCUUCGGGUUGUAAACUUCUUUUACCAGGGACGAAGAACGUGACGGUACCUGGAGAAAAAGCAACGGCUAACUACGUGCCAGCAGCCGCGGUAAUACGUAGGUUGCAAGCGUUGUCCGGAUUUACUGGGUGUAAAGGGCGUGUAGGCGGAGAUGCAAGUCAGGAGUGAAAUCCCGGGGCUCAACCCCGGAACUGCUUUUGAAACUGCAUCCCUUGAGUAUCGGAGAGGCAAGCGGAAUUCCUAGUGUAGCGGUGAAAUGCGUAGAUAUUAGGAGGAACACCAGUGGCGAAGGCGGCUUGCUGGACGACAACUGACGCUGAGGCGCGAAAGCGUGGGGAGCAAACAGGAUUAGAUACCCUGGUAGUCC
This 773-nucleotide ribosomal RNA is filed under the name uncultured bacterium. RNAcentral's name for it is "bacterial SSU rRNA". It matches the Rfam family "Bacterial small subunit ribosomal RNA", at positions 8 to 796 of the family's 1533-position model. The record is from RNAcentral.